AUGGGCAGCAGCAGUUCCUCCACCCCCUCCCACGACUACGCCGGAGGAGGCACCGAUGGGUUGAGCUUCGCUGCGGCGUGGGUCGACGGGAAGGGCAGGCUGUCCGCCGUUCCCUUUCCGGCACCUUUUUCCCCAACCUCCGCGGGCAGCAUCCUCGACUUCGCCUUCCCCUUCGCCUUGGGUCAAGCUCCACGGCAGGGAGGAGGAUGA
This 210-nucleotide ribosomal RNA is filed under the name Triticum aestivum (bread wheat). RNAcentral's name for it is "partial small subunit ribosomal RNA". Lineage: Eukaryota; Viridiplantae; Streptophyta; Magnoliopsida; Poales; Poaceae. The record is from RNAcentral.